GUGAAUCAUCAAAUUUUUGAACGCAAAUUGCACUCUCCGGUUUUCCGGGAGAGUAUGCCUGUUUGAGGGUCAGCCUAAAAAAAAUGGACAUGGUUGCUGUUUGAGGGUGACUUUCGUCGGAGAUGGGUAAUCUUAAAGCUCGGUUUAAGCGACUUAAAAAUUUUUUGUACGAUUCUAAGAAUGUUUCUAAGAUUUUUCUGGUAGGUUAAAGUUAUCGAUUUUCUUAGUAGACUUGGCCGUCAU
This 243-nucleotide unclassified non-coding RNA is filed under the name Glomus sp. RNAcentral's name for it is "partial contains 5.8S ribosomal RNA and internal transcribed spacer 2". The stretch from base 1 to 72 matches the Rfam family "5.8S ribosomal RNA", at positions 84 to 154 of the family's 154-position model. Lineage: Eukaryota; Fungi; Glomeromycota; Glomeromycetes; Glomerales; Glomeraceae. The record is from RNAcentral.